Non-coding RNA from Myodes glareolus (Bank vole), 2501 nucleotides. The record is from RefSeq and is a predicted model, not a curated record. NCBI's taxonomy places the organism in Eukaryota, Metazoa, Chordata, Mammalia, Rodentia, Cricetidae.
UCCGCCUACCUAAUUUUCUGUCCUAUCAAGGGGCCAAGGCAGUCUCUUUAUUGACCAAUGAAAAUAACACAAUAGACAGAUAACCCUCCUCCAUCAUCUUCCCUUCAUUUAUAGUUUUUACAUCUGAUAAUUGGGAUUUUUCUUGGCACAGUCAAGGUUCAGGUACUUCUUCCUGCUUUUAUAUGGCAGUAUAUGGGCAGGUCUCAGCCCUGACCCCUAUUCUUCACCCUUGACUCCCACCCAUGGCCCUGUGGCCAGAAUCUCAGAACAGAAGCCUAUGGGAAGAAUUUGUGUCAACUUUGUGGAGUAAGAGGGCUUCAGUGACCUCAAGAGUGAGCUAGGUUAAAGGUAGGCCUUGCCAAGGGAGAGACUCUGUAGCCUUUUCCAGGCUCUUGAUGGGAUCCAGCCUGUGCCUCCUGUGUGCUCCCAAGAAAGCCAGCACCUUGUGACAGACUGUAGGACAUGGCAAAGAAGAAUGUCACAGCUUCAAAGGGAGGCAGAGAGGAAGGGUCCCUGGGAAUCCCUACCCUGAGGAUGCAGCCUGCAGGAUAAGGCACUCAUUCUUAGGGUGAAAAGGUAAACUCAUUACUGUUUCUACUCAGAGUAGAGUGGUGAGAAGGGGUCCUCGUAGGAAAGGUAAGCUAGGGGCUGUGGCAUCUAGAGAAUAAAUGGUUUCAUGGCCCCAGCCUCCCCUGGAACUGAAGUGCAUGGAGCUGAAGGAGCAAACCCUGAGAGGAAAAGCAUGGCUGGGGACUGCCCACACCUCUGCUGACCUGUGGCCUGUCCUGGAGCCUGAGGUGGUGGCGUCCACCCAUCCUCGCAGCUGUUUGAGCCCUCUGGCUCCAGCUUCUCUAUCACAUUUAACGUGGGCCACUGUGACUCUUAAACUUCCUUCAGAAAAAGAACAUUUGCAGUCCUGAGAAUACUCCUGAGACUGUUGCUAUAACCUGCCGGGGAGACCAGCCUCAAAGGGUUCUGAACACACCAGAACAAACAAGUGAUUCUGUUGAACGGCCCAGUGAGAGGAAGGUGACUGUCGGAGGACUGCAUUUAUGAUGGCAUCCAGAUGUGCUGGUACUGAGAAAAGAAGAUGACUAGAAGGAGCAGAAGGAAGCAGCUCUGCCCUCUGGAUGCUGUGCUUUAUUACAGUUGCCCAAUUUUACCUGUGGAUUGCUACGUAUGCUACCAACCUAAGCCCUUUAUCUAUGGCCCGCUCUCCCAGUCCCAGCAUCACCUAGUAAGGGGGUGUGACUCCUUCCCUCUGUUAACAACAGCUUGCUCAAGGACGAUCGGCAAGCCUGUGGGAGACCGAGGACCUGAAGCCAGGCUGCUGGCCCAGAAACAGCUCUUCAACUUUCUGUCUCCAGCCCUUGUUCAGAAGAAGCUCACUAUCAUCAGGGAACUUCCCUCCAGAAUACAGAUCAGGGGCAUCUCUUCUCUGUUGUAUCUGUGGUACAGGAAAAUCUUAUGGAUUCCCAGAUUGCAAAAAGGCAGACUUGGAAGUUGGAGAAAAGUACCAAGACCUGAAUUCUGGACUCCUCAAAGGAAUCGGCAACCCCGUGGCUAAACUGCAAAGGGAACCCAGUGUGGGCUGCUGCAGUCAUACAGGCCAUCUAUGGUGCCGUGUGGUCAAAUCCUUGGCUUGCUUCCUACUGGCUGUUUCACAGAGAACUGAAUCUAUUUAGAGAAAGUGAAAAUGUUACCCUAGAGUUGGUGCGCAUCCCAAGGAAGACUCAGUGCUGAUGUCCUUGUCCAGCCACCUCCUGACACAAUCCUCAGUAAUGUCUGGGGCAAAGUGACACUCUGCAGAUGACGAGACAUGAGGCCAAGAUUGGUGGAGGGAAAUGGAGUGGCGUUCCAUUGGUAUUUUAAUAAAUAAAGCUUGCCUGAAGAUCAGAAAAGUACAACAGCCACACUGGCCAGCCUUACAGACCAGGCAGUGAUGACAUACACCUUUAAUCCCAGUAGCCACAAUGAUACACAUCUUUAAUCCUAGUAGCCACACUAACUUGUCAUAGAAAACAGGUGGUAAUGGUGCGCACCCUUAAUCCCAGAAGUAGAGAAGAUCAUAAAACAGGAGGAGACAGAUCAUAGUCUCAGUCUCAUUAUUAUAAGAUUCUUGGAGGCAGGAUCACCAUUUUCAGACUGAGGUCGAGGUAAGCCAGUAGCUGACUGCUUUGCUUUUUGGAUCUUUAGGUCGAACCCCAGUUUCUGUGCAUUUUUAUUAAUCCUGCUUCAGGGAACACGGCAGUUCUACAGAAGUUUGUGGACUGUGGGCUCAUCACAUUGAAGAUCAGUGACCAACUGAUGCCAGAGGCCACCAGUGCUCCAGGCUUCUGCCUGCUUCUACUUCUUAGCCUGCUAGCCAGACCAUCUCACACAGCAUCCUGCCACCUGAGGUCCUUGACAUGUCCUGCUCUGCCUUUGCGGACUGGCCCCGCCAAGCAUGGAUUCUGUCCUAAUUUGCUUUCUAUUGCUGUAAUAAAACAUUUAGACCAAAA